GGAGGGCUACUUCUUACUUUCUUUUAAGUUUGAUAUGCCUCUAAGUAGAGUGGUCUAUUCUUUUUCAGUUUGGUGUUAGACAAAAAGCAAAGUAUCCAGUUCUAGGUGCGCUCUAUCACAGGAGGAUGCUAAGGAGAACAUUUUGGACAUCACAAAGCAUUCACUGUCGUAGCAGCAGUUGUCACAUGCCUUCAACAGUAGGAGCCAGCAUGAAGCUUCUCAAAUUUAAAACUAAGGGACAGCCACAGCAUUCAGGGCUUACACUUGGCAUGGAUGUUUCAAUGCUUUUUCAUCUGGAAGAUGCUGGAAUGUCACAGUACGCUGAGAACAAAAUACUGUAGAAAUUGGAGCCCUUCCCUUAACUGAAAUUCCUCUGGAUACUUGCAUAUAUUGUGGUUGCAGUAGACACUGAAGGUAUCUUAAAACAUUUACUGAUGGUCUUAAGCAAGGAACGCUACGGAAACAUUUUUAUGCAACUUUCAUGGAGGAAAAAGUUGCAGAGGAGAGGGAGAAACCUUCUUGUUUCUACGGUGCUUUGAAAAACAACUCUUUAACAAAGAACUGAGACUGAAGAUGUUUGAGAGAUGCAACUAAACUGAUAAAAAAAUCGUGCAUUUUCUUUGCCACAAAGAUGUCAAAGUAUAAAACUCUAGUAUAAUGGCUUCAGGAAUGCCCUCUGUCACUCAGUGUCUUAUUUUCCCCACCUGAUGAAUUAAGAUAAUCAAGUCUUUGCCUUUUCAAGUACUCUGCUCUUCAGUGCUGGGAAGCAUUUAAAUUAGUCUAAAAUAGUAGCAGAAAUACCAAAUUAUGUGAAGUGUGAAAGAACAAACAGAUGUAAUUGGUUUUUUGACAUGCUUUUUUAAAUAAUUAUUUCAAAAAUACAUAUUUCUAAGGAAAAAAUCAAACUAGGAGUAGUAAUGCUAGUUUCUUUCUUUUUCCAUAGUUGAUACUGUUCUUAUCUUCUGAUUAAUGAUAGCCUGUUAUCGCACAUCUUUCUUUGUUUCGUAGGGGAUUAGACAGAAUUGUAUAUAUCCCAGUGGAUAUCUGAUUGCAUAGUUGUUUUCUUUUACCCUGGAACGACUAGCUGAAUCUCUUAGUGCAUGUGGUUAUUUGCAUAUUUUUUUUUAAUCAGAAGAUUUUAAAGUGUUCAUUAUGCAGCUCAGUUGAACACAAAUUUUAUAAAUGCCUUUUUUUCCCCCAUGUGUUCAAUUUGUAUCAUGCCUGCAUGAUGCAUCCUACUAUUUUCACUUUGUACUUAUUUUUCAUGAGAAUGUAUCACUGAAAAUUAAUUACUUUUUCAGAAUAAAAUGGAAAAUGUAAUCUGAAGCUCUAUUUUC
Long non-coding RNA from Numida meleagris (helmeted guineafowl), 1337 nucleotides. Lineage: Eukaryota; Metazoa; Chordata; Aves; Galliformes; Numididae. The record is from Ensembl.